UGGGGAAUAUUGCACAAUGGGCGCAAGCCUGAUGCAGCAACGCCGCGUGAACGAUGAAGGUCUUCGGAUCGUAAAGUUCUGUUGCAGGGGAAGAUAAUGACGGUACCCUGUGAGGAAGCCCCGGCUAACUACGUGCCAGCAGCCGCGGUAAUACGUAGGGGGCUAGCGUUAUCCGGAUUUACUGGGCGUAAAGUGUGCGUAGGUGGUCCUUCAAGUCGGUGGUUAAAGGCUACGGCUCAACCGUAGUAAGCCGCCGAAACUGGAGGACUUGAGUGCAGGAGAGGAAAGUGGAAUUCCCAGUGUAGCGGUGAAAUGCGUAGAUAUUGGGAGGAACACCAGUAGCGAAGGCGGCUUUCUGGACUGCAACUGACACUGAGGCACGAAAGCGUGGGUAGCAAACAGG
RNAcentral lists this ribosomal RNA (403 nucleotides) under Verrucomicrobiota bacterium. RNAcentral's name for it is "Verrucomicrobia bacterium partial 16S ribosomal RNA". It matches the Rfam family "Bacterial small subunit ribosomal RNA", at positions 355 to 776 of the family's 1533-position model. The record is from RNAcentral. Lineage: Bacteria; Pseudomonadati; Verrucomicrobiota.